Transfer RNA from Camelus ferus (Wild Bactrian camel), 72 nucleotides. It matches the Rfam family "tRNA". From Rfam's summary of the family: Transfer RNA (tRNA) molecules are approximately 80 nucleotides in length. Their secondary structure includes four short double-helical elements and three loops (D, anti-codon, and T loops). The record is from Rfam. NCBI's taxonomy places the organism in Eukaryota, Metazoa, Chordata, Mammalia, Artiodactyla, Camelidae.
AAGGGUAUAGCUCAGCGGCAAAGCACGUGCUUUGCAUGCGAGAGGUCCUGGGUUCAAUCCCCAGUACCUCCA